UACGUAGGGUGCAAGCGUUGUCCGGAAUUAUUGGGCGUAAAGAGCUCGUAGGCGGUUUGUCGCGUCUGCUGUGAAAACUCGGGGCUUAACCCUGGGCCUGCAGUGGGUACGGGCAGACUAGAGUGCGGUAGGGGAGUCUGGAAUUCCUGGUGUAGCGGUGAAAUGCGCAGAUAUCAGGAGGAACACCGGUGGCGAAGGCGGGUCUCUGGGCCGUAACUGACGCUGAGGAGCGAAAGCGUGGGGAGCAAACAGG
Molecule: ribosomal RNA, 253 nt
Filed under: uncultured bacterium
Lineage: Bacteria
Description: partial 16S ribosomal RNA
Rfam family: Bacterial small subunit ribosomal RNA
Source: RNAcentral